GAUGAACGCUGGCGGCGUGCCUAAUACAUGCAAGUCGAGCGAACAGACGAGUAGCUUGCUCCUCUGACGUUAGCGGCGGACGGGUGAGUAACACGUGGAUAACCUACCUAUAAGACUGGGAUAACUUCGGGAAACCGGAGCUAAUACCGGAUAAUAUAUUGAACCGCAUGGUUCAAUAGUGAAAGACGGUUUUGCUGUCACUUAUAGAUGGAUCCGCGCCGCAUUAGCUAGUUGGUAAGGUAACGGCUUACCAAGGCAACGAUGCGUAGCCGACCUGAGAGGGUGAUCGGCCACAAUGGAACUGAGACACGGUCCAGACUCCUACGGGAGGCAGCAGUAGGGAAUCUUCCGCAAUGGGCGAAAGCAUGACGGAGCAACGCCGCGUGAGUGAUGAAGGUCUUCGGAUCGUAAAACUCUGUUAUUAGGGAAGAACAAAUGUGUAAGUAACUAUGCACGUCUUGACGGUACCUAAUCAGAAAGCCACGGCUAACUACGUG
Molecule: ribosomal RNA, 497 nt
Filed under: uncultured bacterium
Lineage: Bacteria
Description: partial 16S ribosomal RNA
Rfam family: Bacterial small subunit ribosomal RNA
Source: RNAcentral